RNAcentral lists this ribosomal RNA (253 nucleotides) under uncultured bacterium. Its description in RNAcentral is "partial 16S ribosomal RNA". It matches the Rfam family "Bacterial small subunit ribosomal RNA", at positions 524 to 776 of the family's 1533-position model. The record is from RNAcentral.
UACGGAGGAUGCAAGCGUUAUCCGGAAUGAUUGGGCGUAAAGCGUCCGCAGGUGGCUAUGUAAGUCUGCUGUUAAAGAGUCUGGCUCAACCAGAUAAAGGCAGUGGAAACUACAUGGCUAGAGUGCGUUCGGGGCAGAGGGAAUUCCUGGUGUAGCGGUGAAAUGCGUAGAGAUCAGGAAGAACACCGGUGGCGAAGGCGCCUUGCCAGGUCUAAUCUGACACUCAGACGCGAAAGCAUGGGGAGCGAACGGG